GUGACGUAUAAUCUAGUGGACGGUUCUUCAUAAACAGCUCGUCAACCACCUCGGUAGCUUGCUAGCCAACAUAGCCGAAAGAUUCAAGCUAUUUAUACGCUUUCGGUGUAUAUUACCUACUGUGUUUUCGACACACUUAGGUCGUAUCUACUUGUUAACCUAUUUAAUAUUACGUUAUUUUGUAUUAGUCAGCUAUAGUAGCUGACUGGUUAAAUUAGCACUAGCCUAGUCGCUAAUGAUAGCUAGCUAGCUAACAUCCCCGAACAUGAGCUCCCUAAACUUAUCCCCUCUCGUUGAAGAAGAGGAGGUCUGCUGGACGGAGAAAGGAGGUCUGUGGCUGAACGUUGUCGUGAAAGAGGAGGAGGAAGAGGAGGAUGUCACAGUAAAACAAGAAGUAGUGGGUGAGGCUGUUACAGUGAAAGAAGAAGAGAAAGACGUUUCAGUGAAAGAAGAGGAAGACGCGUUCAGAGUGAAAGAGGAGGAAGAUGAGAAAGAGGAGGAUGUCGUUUUUGGUGUUAAAGAAGAGGUUGGAGAUCCGUUUAACACCAGUAAGUACCGUCUCUGCAUUCGUUGAACCAAUAUGCAGUAAAGGGGUUCUACACUUUAAUGUUGUUCUGUAGGAAUGGCUGAAGCUACACUGUAACGUGUAGAACAUCAAGAGUGGACCAUCAACAAAACGUUAACAAUUGAUCAAAUGCAUCCAAUGACAAUGCCUGAAAUAAUGUAGUCCUCAAUAUCUCCUAUUAGAUUAGCCCAAUAUGCAGUCUUAAAGGGGCAAUCAGCAGUUGUUACAUCCAUUUUGGGACUUAUACAUUAAUGAUAUGUACCCAUUGUUUCUUGAAGAAUUCACUUAUAAAUGCCUCAUGAGCUUAGUUCAACUGUUGUACCCCAUCAGAACCCAAAAUAUGAGCUUUUUUUUACUCCAAUGUUUGUCAGUAAAUAUAAACAAACACGGUAUAUCCCCAAAACAUGGUUAACUAGAAUGUUGAUAUCCUGGAUGGUUGCAUUUCUCCAACCCCAUCCCUCAGCUUUUUACUGAAACGGGCAGGGAGUACGCUUUGUUAUUGUUUCUACUGCUGAUUCUCUGCCCCCGUUACUCCUCAAAAUAAUUUCACAUAAUACUUUCAUAUCACAUAACAAUUAUUUCACACAAUACUUUCAUAUCACAUCAAAAUAAUUUAAAAUACUUUAACAUCAAAAUAAUUUCACACAAUACUUUCAUAUCACAUCAAAAUAGGUAACCAGUCUGUAUAGAUAGAUAGCUAAGUGAAUUAAAUAUCACCAGCUACCUAACUUCAUAUUAGCUAUCUUGAUGUAUUUAUCACUGUAAAAAACUAACUCCAAAUGCAUUUGUAGGUAGCUAGCUACCAGCCAUGGAGGAGGGUGAAAGGAUAGCAGCCCCAACUGUCAGUGAGAGAGGAGGCUAUUCUGGAUAGGGAAGGUACUUUUGUGUAGUUCCUGUCCCUAGAAGUGAGGACGGAGAUAAUAGUAACAUAAUAUUCAGUGUGGUGUAAUUUGACUAUAAUGAAGUGUGUUUCUUGUGAGUCUUUCUGUCCUCAGAUAAAGAGCGCUAUGAAAGCCAGUCUACAUAUGAAGAGGUCCCAAUGAAGAGCAGUGGUUCUCAGUCCUGGGGACUCAAAGAGGCACAUUGUUGUUUUUGCCUCAGCACUGCACAGCUGAUUCAAAUGAUCAACUCAUUAUCAAGCUUUAAGUGAUACCUUGUAACUGGAGAUUCCUUCAAAACGAUUGCCUACAGUUACCGUGUAGGGCACUGCAAGGUUGGGUGACCAGGGUCAUCUGGGACUGCCUCCUGGAGGAAUUCAGAUGUGUGAAGGCUACCUGUGUCCUGCGUAACUUCAUGAGGAUGGACACGAGGACCAGGAGGGGAUCUGCAGCUCGCCGCCGUGUCCCAGAGGAGGAGUCUGCUGCUCUGCAGGAUGUUUCAAGGAUGGGGUCCAACAACGCAGCAAGAGAGGCAAUCCGUGUGCAGGAGAUCUUCACCUCCUCCUUCUUCAAAGAGGAUGCUGUUCCAUGGCAACACCAUAGACUACACUAUGCUCAACCAAAGGCUCUUUUAAGAGGGUGCUGUUCCCUGGCAACACCAUAGACUACACUAUGCACAACCAAAGGCUCUUUUAAGAGGGUGCUGUUCCCUGGCAACACCAUAGACUACACUAUGCACAACCAAAGGCUCUUUUAAGAGGGUGCUGUUCCCUGGCAACACCAUAGACUACACUAUGCACAACCAAAGGCUCUUUUAAGAGGGUGCUGUUGCCUAGCAACACCAUAGACUACACUAUGCUCAACCAAAGGCUCUUUUAAGAGGGUGCUGUUCCCUGGCAACACCAUAGACUACACUAUGCACAACCAAAGGCCCUUUUAAGAGCCAUUCACAUUGCAAUAAGAGUAUUCUUCCAUUUACUUAGCUAUGUCAACUGCAGUUAUUCAAUUCACAGUUUCUCUCCCUUUGAUUUCUACUUCUCAGGUGAGGGUGCUGUUUAGGUAAGGGUGUGAUGUCUGUGCAAAAACAAAACAGGCUGUUUUAAAUCACCCAUAUUGAAAAAAUGUAGAGCAAUUAGACACUCUAUAACCCACACCUACACACUCAUGUAUCAAUCUGAUUGAUGGAUUGGGUUGUGCAGUAAGCAGGCUCAGGUGUAUAACUGUGGCUCCUUCCACCUUCAAAGAAUAGGCAAGAGGGCCAACCAUGGAGAAUAGUAAGACACUUCAUUAUUUCUAUAACUACGCUAUAUUGUUUGUCCUUGUGUGUCCGUUCAUGUUUUUCAGCAUAAAGUACUCUGCAGCCACUUAGUGUGGUGUGGACACCAGGUGAGGCCACACACAGAUUCCUGUUGAACACUGUGGCUUUAACUACCUUAUUUUCUCAAUAACAGUCUCUCUCCUUCACUUCAUCCCUCUCUCCCCUUCUCCCUAAGUCCUCUAGGUUAUAUCAGCUGUGUCGGUGAACCCCUACAGCAUCUGAACUGGCUACAUAGAGUGCACAGCAUGAUCAGAGAGAUGUUUUGAUGUGAGAGGAUGCCAACCCCCAGUCCCAUCAUCGCCACCUCACCUGCUUUUAAGAUCACCUUUGGGCCGACUAGAGACACUGUUAUGUAAUUGUGAUGAACUGAGAGAAUAUUUAUGUAGCACUGUGAUUCAUUAAUCAUGUGCUGCCUUCCCUGCUCCUAUGUGCUUACCUCUUUCCCUUUCUGUCUUUUACACCUCUCUUUCCACCUCCUCUUUCUUCCUCUGUUUUUAUAAUGCACAACAGAUGUGCAUUGAAGGACAGAUUGAACUUGUAUUUAUAACACUUGGAUAAUGAGCUUUUCAAUAAAGCGUUUCACAUUCUCUACUGGUUGAAAUGAAGUGUAAUGUGAUGAAAUACUCCACCUAUCCUGUGUUUAUCAGAUCAAUGCAGAUGAAGGGCAUUAGAUGUUGAGAUGAACCGGUGUUGGAGUAUUUACAUGAUGCAUAGGAAGUGUAGUGUUCUGUUUUUAACAUUAUAUUUCUGUAUAUAUGAAUUAACUAGUUAAAUCCUGUUUCUAGUCUAUUAUAUACAAUGUGUAACCAUUGAUGUCCCAGGACCAAGAUUGGUAAACACUGUUGAAGUGUAUAAUUGUAAUACAUACAUGCAGACACAGCGUCAUUCAAAGACUGGAAUUUGAUUCUCCUGGUAUUGGAUAUGACUGAAAAAUAAUCUCAAAGACA
Molecule: long non-coding RNA, 3708 nt
Organism: Salvelinus fontinalis (brook trout)
Lineage: Eukaryota; Metazoa; Chordata; Actinopteri; Salmoniformes; Salmonidae
Exons: 3
Source: RefSeq, a predicted model, not a curated record